CCUACGGGUGGCAGCAGUGAGGAAUAUUGGUCAAUGGGAGAGAUCCUGAACCAGCCAAGCCGCGUGAGGGAAGACGGCCCUAUGGGUUGUAAACCUCUUUUGUCGGAGAACAAAACUCGGGACUUGUCCCCGUCUGCGUGUAUCCGAAGAAAAAGCAUCGGCAAACCCCUUUCCAGCGGCCGCGGUAAUACGGGGGAGGCGAGGGUUAUCCGGAUUUAUGGGGUUUAAGGGGUGCGUGGGCGGUCCGUUACGUCGGCGGUAAAAUUGCGGGGCUCAACCGCGUCGAGCCGUUGAGACUGGCAGACUUGAGUUGGCGAGAGGUACGCGGAAUGCGCGGUGUAGCGGUGAAAUGCAUAGAGAUCGCGCAGAACUCCGAUUGCGAAGGCAGCGUACCGGCGCCAGACUGACGCUGAGGCACGAAAGCGUGGGGAUCGAACAGGAUUAGAUACCCCGGUAGUC
This 459-nucleotide ribosomal RNA is filed under the name uncultured bacterium. Its description in RNAcentral is "partial 16S ribosomal RNA". It matches the Rfam family "Bacterial small subunit ribosomal RNA", at positions 338 to 795 of the family's 1533-position model. The record is from RNAcentral.